RNAcentral lists this ribosomal RNA (613 nucleotides) under Scytonema sp. LCRSM-5225. RNAcentral describes it as "bacterial SSU rRNA". It matches the Rfam family "Bacterial small subunit ribosomal RNA", at positions 100 to 747 of the family's 1533-position model. The record is from RNAcentral. Lineage: Bacteria; Bacillati; Cyanobacteriota; Cyanophyceae; Nostocales; Scytonemataceae.
GGACGGGGGAGUAACGCGUGAGAAUCUGUCUUCAGGUCGGGGACAACCACUGGAAACGGUGGCUAAUACCGGAUGUGCCGAAAGGUGAAAGGCUUGCUGCCGGAAGAUGAGCUCGCGUCUGAUUAGCUAGUAGGUGUGGUAAGGGCGCACCUAGGCGACGAUCAGUAGCUGGUUGAGAGGACGAUCAGCCACACUGGGACUGAGACACGGCCCAGACUCCUACGGGAGGCAGCAGUGGGGAAUUUUCCGCAAUGGGCGAAAGCCUGACGGAGCAAUACCGCGUGAGGGAGGAAGGCUCUUGGGUUGUAAACCUCUUUUCUCAGGGAAGAAAAAAAUGACGGUACCUGAGGAAUAAGCAUCGGCUAACUCCGUGCCAGCAGCCGCGGUAAUACGGAGGAUGCAAGCGUUAUCCGGAAUGAUUGGGCGUAAAGCGUCCGCAGGUGGCAAUGUAAGUCUGCUGUUAAAGAGCAAGGCUCAACCUUGUAAAAGCAGUGGAAACUACAUAGCUAGAGUACGUUCGGGGCAGAGGGAAUUCCUGGUGUAGCGGUGAAAUCCGUAGAGAUCUGGAAGAACACCGGUGGCRAAASCGCUCUGCUAGGYCUGUUCUGACACU